GUUGAAUACUGUUCUCCAUGUCAUUAUCAUCUGAAAAAUAUAUAGUUCGGAAAACAUUAAUCGACAUGUGGAAGCUGUAUCCGAAAGAUAGGGAUUUCCACAUUAUACCCGGUACUCCAUAGAGAAUGAUCAUAACUAGCAGUAUGCCGAAUCUGUAUCCGACCGCAUCAUUAUUAUAGCCAGAAGAAACAAAUUAAAUUUACGCGCUUACUUAUUCUCUCUCUAUCUCUAUCUCUCUCGCACUCACUCUUUCUCGAGACAAAACGGCUGGUGUUGGUGUGAGAAUAGAGAAAAAGAGACAGGUGUACAAAAUGGAAACAAAUAAAUAUUAAAAUAUAUAAAAGUCUCCCAAACGGUUCCUUUUUGCGAGCUGCGAUACCAAGCGACAUAUAAAAUAAAUAUUGUAUAAAUUAUAUAAAUCAUAAGCUUACAUAAAAACCGACUGAGUACCGGGUAUAAGGACGGGUUCCCGCUCGUUUUAGUAAGCGUUUUAGUGAAAGGUGCACCCACAUUAUUUGGUAGUUUGUAGAAGUCUUUUUACAAUUGGAAAUGAUUUCAAAUUGAGUAAAAAUUAAGUAAAUAAUUAUAGCUUAAACAAAUGUACAAGUAUCCAUUCCGAACCGAUUAAAAGUGCUCAGGGGACAGGGGACACGGGGACACACCAAUGGGAGCAGGUUUUGUGGAGGAAGAACAUCCAUUUGGCUGCAAGUGCAAGGACAGGACAGGAGGUGUGAAGGUGCGCGUAACAUGUACAGUAUAGUACGUUUCAUAGCUCUUCAAAAUUGAACGCACAUUCAAAACAUGAACCAAAUAAAAGGGAAACUUGCUUAAGUUCAGGUCACGGCUGACACAAAUGCUGCUGCAUUCCACGUGGAACUGGAGUACGCGCAGGAGGAGGAGGAGGAGCCCAUCCCCUCAUCCCAGGGCGGGCGUACUACAAGUUGAAGGUACUACGGGCAGAGGCGGCAGAGAAUGCACAAAUAAAUCGGAUUAAAAGAAAGGCAGAACAGAAAUCAAACAAUCAAAGACGUAAACAAAAAAA
Drosophila miranda is the source of this 1042-nucleotide long non-coding RNA. RefSeq lists it as uncharacterized. Lineage: Eukaryota; Metazoa; Arthropoda; Insecta; Diptera; Drosophilidae. The record is from RefSeq and is a predicted model, not a curated record. The transcript is spliced from 2 exons.